Molecule: ribosomal RNA, 135 nt
Filed under: uncultured bacterium
Lineage: Bacteria
Description: partial 16S ribosomal RNA
Rfam family: Bacterial small subunit ribosomal RNA
Source: RNAcentral
GCAAGCCUGAUCUAGCCAUGCCGCGUGAGUGACGAAGGCCUUAGGGUCGUAAAGCUCUUUCGCCAGAGAUGAUAAUGACAGUAUCUGGUAAAGAAACCCCGGCUAACUCCGUGCCAGCAGCCGCGGUAAUACGAC